UCCAAAGAUGUAAAGGAAGACCACAGAAGAAUACCCAUAGAGGAACAUACUGUAUGUUUUCUAACUCUAAGUGAACAUUAGGGAACCAAUGAUACCAGGGAGGGUAAAAAUACAGAAUGGAUUUCCAAAUAACACCGAUGGAAAAUUUGUUCAGAUAGAAAAUGUCACAGUAGACAAGGAAGAACUGAUACCAGAAGCACUAACGAAGCAGCGUAGAUAAAAAUGAAAAGUAGCUCACCACCAAGUUUAAAAUCGCAAUGGGAUACAAAAAGUUCACCACCCAACGGAAAUUAAACGAGGAUACAGAACUAGAAAAUAAAAGACUCACCACUCAAGGACGCAUCCAAGAGAUACAAAGUUUAAGGGGUUCUCCAAGAGCUUCUGCCCAGAUAUUAUCAGUUUCUAAAGUCCUUUCUAAGUCCUAAACACCAAAAUAAAUACUAGAGCAUGAAACAACCCUUCAUGCAUAGGAAAUUUCGAAAUUAAGUGUUUACAGCUACCAACCAACUAUUUUAAUGCACUCAUUGGUAAUGAAGAAAUGUUCACAGCUGCCAACCAACUCCUUUAA
Molecule: long non-coding RNA, 568 nt
Filed under: Musa acuminata (dwarf banana)
Lineage: Eukaryota; Viridiplantae; Streptophyta; Magnoliopsida; Zingiberales; Musaceae
Description: long non-coding RNA (MACU_LNC007574)
Source: RNAcentral